UUAACUGAAAACAAAUUGGUAUUAUUUUAUGUGAUCACAGUGAAUUAGUGUCUUACUUGCCACUGCCUAUACGUUCCUGAUAACAAGUCUACCUGUUGAAACAAAAAGUUAGUAGUUGUAGUAUAAGUAUUCAACGAGGUUGAAUAUUUUACAAACUUAUUGAGUCAUCAAAACAAAAAAAGGACUGAAGAAACUGUUGCAGAGAAAAUGGCCGGAAAGAUUUUAAUUAUGAUCAUCAUUACUUAUCUGAUACCUAACAUACAAUGCUUACCAAACAAGCGGCUUUGUGGCUGCCUGUUUUCUGAUCAGGAUGGAAUGAAAGCAGACUGUGAAAAUAGACAUGACAUUGAUUUCAAGUGUCUGUCUCGGCAGCCUAUUAAGUCCUUGGAUCUAUCACACAAUGGAUUUCUGAAAUGGCCAGAGAAAUUGAUUUCACGUAUAUGGGAGAACAUUCUCUACCUGGAUCUCUCAUUCAACAACAUUUCAUACUUGUCUAGAUGCAUAUACAAUGCAAUGCCACUUUUGAUAAGUGUGAAUCUUACCUAUAACAGCAUCAAAAAAAUGUCCUGUGACGCAUGCGUUACACCUUUCAUCGAUUUGGAUCACAACAACCUGACGGAUUGGCAAAAUUAUUGCAGUACUUGCAAUUCGAACAUCACAAAACGAUUAAAUGAACAGUCGAAUUUGGUCGAACUGGAGUCCAGUGAUUGCAUUUUGAAUGCUUCCGAUGAACCGAAACCAGUGACGUCGCAGGACCAGAAGAAAACUGACCAAAAGAACAUAAAACAAAUUUUUUCGAUCGGUAUUAUUUUUCUUAUUCUAUUCGUUAUUGGAAACCUUAUGAUCAUGAAUAAUAAACUCAUGCCAUCAUAUGUAAGGCGUCGUGUAGAAUAUAGAAAUGUAAGUAGAACAGUAAGCAAUGACACAGUAACAGUAAGCAAUGACACAAACCAUACAAAAUUGUAAAAUCAGUUCAAUUGAUGCCGCCAAAAUUCAAAUACAUAUGGGUAAUUCUCUGAUGUCGCACGCGACAUUUGUACGCAUUCAACAUUUUCUUCCAUCAUAUUUUUUAAAUUCUUUAAUACUUUUUGAGUAAA
This 1097-nucleotide small RNA is filed under the name Drosophila yakuba. Its description in RNAcentral is "GE27763". The record is from RNAcentral. Lineage: Eukaryota; Metazoa; Arthropoda; Insecta; Diptera; Drosophilidae.